Molecule: ribosomal RNA, 765 nt
Filed under: uncultured Streptococcus sp.
Lineage: Bacteria; Bacillati; Bacillota; Bacilli; Lactobacillales; Streptococcaceae
Description: bacterial SSU rRNA
Rfam family: Bacterial small subunit ribosomal RNA
Source: RNAcentral
GAUGAACGCUGGCGGCGUGCCUAAUACAUGCAAGUAGAACGCUGAAGCUUGGUGCUUGCACCGAGCGGAUGAGUUGCGAACGGGUGAGUAACGCGUAGGUAACCUGCCUCUUAGCGGGGGAUAACUAUUGGAAACGAUAGCUAAUACCGCAUAAAAGUCAAUAUCGCAUGAUAUUGAUUUGAAAGGUGCAAAUGCAUCACUAAGAGAUGGACCUGCGUUGUAUUAGCUAGUUGGUGAGGUAACGGCUCACCAAGGCGACGAUACAUAGCCGACCUGAGAGGGUGAUCGGCCACACUGGGACUGAGACACGGCCCAGACUCCUACGGGAGGCAGCAGUAGGGAAUCUUCGGCAAUGGGGGCAACCCUGACCGAGCAACGCCGCGUGAGUGAAGAAGGUUUUCGGAUCGUAAAGCUCUGUUGUAAGAGAAGAACGAGUGUGAGAGUGGAAAGUUCACGCUGUGACGGUAUCUUACCAGAAAGGGACGGCUAACUGCGUGCCAGCAGCCGCGGUAAUACGUAGGUCCCGAGCGUUAUCCGGAUUUAUUGGGCGUAAAGCGAGCGCAGGCGGUUAGAUAAGUCUGAAGUUAAAGGCUGUGGCUUAACCAUAGUACGCUUUGGAAACUGUUUAACUUGAGUGCAGAAGGGGAGAGUGGAAUUCCAUGUGUAGCGGUGAAAUGCGUAGAUAUAUGGAGGAACACCGGUGGCGAAAGCGGCUCUCUGGUCUGUAACUGACGCUGAGGCUCGAAAGCGUGGGGAGCAAACAGG